This is a non-coding RNA of Ovis aries (sheep), 71 nucleotides long. The record is from Rfam. NCBI's taxonomy places the organism in Eukaryota, Metazoa, Chordata, Mammalia, Artiodactyla, Bovidae.
CCCUGGUGCCUCUGAGGGUAAAGAAUCUGCCUGCAAUGCAGGAGACCCGGGUUUGAUCCCUGGGUCAGGAA